CUUGAUCGAGCCCAGCAGCAGCGGGCGGUCCGCCGCCCGGUCCUGGCCGUACGUGGCCAGCAGCGCCUGCGCUUC
Molecule: antisense RNA, 75 nt
Filed under: Streptomyces lavendulae subsp. lavendulae
Lineage: Bacteria; Bacillati; Actinomycetota; Actinomycetes; Kitasatosporales; Streptomycetaceae
Description: ASpks TB sRNA
Rfam family: ASpks TB sRNA
Source: Rfam by way of RNAcentral